This 242-nucleotide ribosomal RNA is filed under the name uncultured bacterium. RNAcentral describes it as "partial 16S ribosomal RNA". It matches the Rfam family "Bacterial small subunit ribosomal RNA", at positions 535 to 776 of the family's 1533-position model. The record is from RNAcentral.
CUAGCGUUGUUCGGAAUUACUGGGCGUAAAGCGCACGUAGGCGGCUUUGUAAGUUCGAUGUGAAAGCCCGGGGCUCAACCCCGGAAUUGCCUUUAAGACUGCAUCGCUUGAAUCCGGGAGAGGUGAGUGGAAUUCCGAGUGUAGAGGUGAAAUUCGUAGAUAUUCGGAAGAACACCAGUGGCGAAGGCGGCUCACUGGACCGGUAUUGACGCUGAGGUGCGAAAGCGUGGGGAGCAAACAGG